CGCCGUCGCCGCCUCGGCCGCCGUCGCCGGUGUGGUGGUUUGAUGAUGGAGGGAGCCCCGUUGCUGACUUUUGGAGCGCUUUCGCUGCUCGAGGAGCUAAUGAUUCUGACGUAGCCAAUGGAAAUAUCACUCAAGAGGAUGUUAAGAAAAGGAAACCUCAACCAGAAAUGUGUGAGGACGAUUCUGAUGAUUAUUGUUUUAUUAGGAAGAGGAUGACCCAAGCACUUCGAUACUUAAAGGAAUCAGCCGGCCAACAAAUAUUAGUUCAAGUUUGGGCACCUGUUAAGAAUGGCAAUAAAUAUGUUCUCACAACUUCUGGUCAGCCAUUUGUCCUGGACCCUCAUAGCCUAGGACUUCACCAGUAUCGUACGGUGUCUAUGACAUAUGUUUUUUCAGCUGAUGGGGAUGGUGAUGGAGAUUUGGGACUUCCUGGUCGGGUCUUUAGAGGGAAAAUGCCAGAGUGGACACCUGAUGUACAAUUUUAUAGUAGUAAGGAAUAUCCUCGUCUUGUUCAUGCUCGCAAUUUUGAUGUUCGUGGAACCUUAGCGUUGCCAGUUUUUGAACCAUCUGGGCACUCUUGUGUUGGGGUGGUUGAACUUAUAAUGACGUCACGAAAGAUCAACUAUGCUCCUGAGGUUGAUAAAGUCUGCAAAGCUCUUGAGGCAGUAAAUCUUAAAAGUUAUGAUAUUUCAGACAUUCCAAGUGUUCAGAUAUGUAAUGAAGGUCGUCAAAAUGCUUUUGCUGAAAUAUUGGAGAUCCUAACUACAAUCUGCGAGGAACACAAGCUGCCUAUAGCUCAGACUUGGGUUCCAUGUAGGCAUCGCAAUGUUCUCACUUAUGGCGGUGGCUCACAAAAAAGCUGCUCAAGCUUUGAUGGGAGUUGCAUGGGACAAGUGUGCAUGUCAACGAGUGAUGUGGCAGUUUAUGUUAUUGACCCUCAAAUGUGGGGUUUCAGGGAUGCUUGUGUUGAACACCACCUUCAGAAGGGACAAGGGGUAGCUGGCAGGGCCUUUGAAUCCCGAAGCUCAUGCUUUUCUAGAGAUAUUACUCAAUUCUCCAAGACUGAAUAUCCACUUGUACAUUAUGCUCGGCUAUUUAAUCUUGCUGGAAGCCUUGCGGUAUGCCUUCAGAGCGUUCACACUGGCAAUGAUGACUACAUUCUCGAGUUUUUCUUGCCACCUGGCUGUAGGGACCCUGUUCAACAGAAGGUUCUGCUGGACUCUAUUUUAAACUUGAUGAAGCAAUGCUUCCGAAACUUAAGGAUAUCAGUCAAUGAAGAUAUCCAAGAAGGGAAAUCUCCAGGCUUUUUUGAUGUUUCUGAAACUGGGAACCGUGAACACGAACCAGGCCUCGCCCUUGGUCAAAGCUGUAGCACUCAUGUCAAUGCAAAUUCUCCUAAGGAUAACCCUGCCCAAGUAGAAAACUUGGUUCCUAAUAGGGCAAAAGCAGUCAAUACUGAAAGGAAUUACACAGAAUCUGCACCUUCAUUAGUCAACUUGAGUGCAAAAAAACCUGAAAGGAAGCGAGGGAAAGCUGAGAAAACAAUCAGUUUGGAAGUUCUUCAUAGGUAUUUUUCAGGAAGCCUAAAAGAUGCUGCAAAAGCCCUUGGCGUUUGUCCGACAACCAUGAAGCGUAUCUGUAGGCAACAUGGGAUAUCGCGAUGGCCGUCAAGAAAGAUCAAUAAGGUCAAUCGCUCUCUCUCAAAGUUGAAAAGAGUGAUCGAGUCUGUGCAGGGUGCUGAAGGAGCUUUUAACCUGCCAUCUCUUUCAUGUCAGCUUCCACUUGCUGUCAGUUUGGAUGGUUGUAGACAUGGUGGAGAUGGUGAACCUCUGAGUCUUCAGCAUGCUGAGUUAGAUAAAGACUCUUUACCACAUAAAUCACUACAGAGUGAUGACCAAUCCAAUAAUAAAAAAGCCCAGCAAGAAACUAUUCGAGCCCAUGCUGAUUCUAAUGUGGAGCCUGAUAAAGACUCUUCUAAAACAAUCUCUUCAGGAGAAGGGAGCUCGGAGGCCGCUACUUCUCAAGAAUCAUGUGAGGAAGUGAAUGUCACUGAUUCCCCCAACUUAAACAAUGGCUUCAAUGUGAAUGGUUUCUUGGGAUUCAGUAACCCGAUGCCAGAUGCCAGUAUAGAAGAGCCACAGCCAAUGCUUGGUAGAGUUCUCAUUGAAGAUUCAGGAAGCUCUAAAGAUUUAAAAAAUCUAUUCAGUAGCAUAGUAGAGGGAUGCCAUUAUGAAAAUUCUGUGUUGUAUACUAAUCAUGAACCAUCUCAUCCUACUGAGGUUCAAGGUUUGAGGACAGUGACUAUAAAAGCAAGUUACAGAGAAGAUAUUGUGAGGUUUCGGUUGCCAGGGAGCGCGGGUAUGAUGGAAUUGAGUGAAGAAGUGGCAAAAAGGCUGAAGUUAGAAGUUGGGACAUUUGAUAUCAGGUAUUUGGAUGAAGAUCAAGAGUGGGUUAUGCUAUCUUGUGAUGCAGACUUGAAAGAGUGCAUUGAAAUUUCAAGGUUGUCAGGUCUUCAUAUUAUCAGGUUAUCAGUCCAUGAUGUUGCUCCAUUGCUUGGGAGUUCCUGCGGGAGCUCAGCUGGACAGUAGCAUGUCACAGUUACUAGACUCUUUAGGUGCAGGGACCACGGUGGCUAUAGCAUAUCCAUGGAGUGUCAAUGUAUGACAAAGUUCAAGCACAGGUACAGAGCUAUAAAGAAGUUUCAUCCUUAUCGGUGGCCUCCAAGCUAUUACUUAAUUGAGAAAAGUUAGAUGCUAUGUUGCGUGGGUACGGGCACAUGUGUGGUUAACGGUACGGGUACGCGUGCGGGACACGACAAAUUUAUAAGAGGUAGGAAAUGGCAAAUGUGCAACCAUAUACGGGGUUUCUGAUUCUUGCAUAAGCUUCAUAGACCAUGCUUUUUACUGCAUCCUCCUUCCACACGUCAUCCACCAUCUGCGUACCUAUUACUGCAUGACACAAUGACUUGAGCGAGAUUGGCAUGCUGACUGAAAAGGUUGAAUAUCUUGUUCAGAUAAUACUAUGAUAUUUUGUAAUCUGCAGUUCUUGUCAAAAAAUUUCUAAUGUGAGUUAGCUGGGGCCUUCAAAUAAAUGUUACACUUGUUUCAAUUGUUUGAGUGCCGCCAAAUUGUUAGGAGCAAUGCCAGCAUCAAACCAUCAUAAAUACAUGCUGACAACUUUAGCAUGCUUCUGUUGCCUCCAAUGUUCUUGAGGAUAAUACUCAAAUCUGAAAGUGACUGCUUACCUACUUAUAAAUCUUCACGUUUUCUAUUUCAGUACCUAUGCGGUAUAUGAAAUGGGUAGACAAUUCAGUUUCU
Molecule: RNA transcript, 3317 nt
Organism: Asparagus officinalis (garden asparagus)
Lineage: Eukaryota; Viridiplantae; Streptophyta; Magnoliopsida; Asparagales; Asparagaceae
Gene name: protein NLP3-like
Exons: 8
Source: RefSeq, a predicted model, not a curated record